GUAAAAAGGACGUCUAUAUAAGGAGGGGAACGAGCUUUGUUUAUAGCACAAGUGAAACUCCACUUUAUUGAACGAUGGGGUCUCAAAUGGGCUGCCUCUUUGCCACUCUUUUGGUAGUAUCAGUCUCUCUUAGCUACUUGCCGAUAGAAGCCUCCGCAAACAAAUACUACUACACAUCUCCUCCCCCUCCCAAGUACAAGUCUCCACCACCACCCCCGCCACCGGUUCACAAUUCUCCACCACCACCCCCGGUUUACCUGCCCCCGCCACCUCCUCCACCAGUCUACGUGCCUGCUCCGGCACCAACUCCAAUUUUCCCUUCUCCGCCACCUCCUGUCCCCAAGUCCCCACCACCACCUCACCCUUACGUCUAUGCAUCUCCCCCUCCUCCUUACUACUACUAGAAAGCGGCCAUGAAUAGCUCAUGCUUUUAUGGUAAUCUCAUUUAUUUUUAAAACUGUACAUGUAAAGACUAGUAGUUCAGAAUUACAUUAAGCAUUUCAAUUUUAAGCACCGUGUUCUGUUUAAUUGCGUUCCUAUUGAUUAAGUGACAAAUAAAAGAGAUUGAUUAAUUUGUUCUUGUAGGAGAGGCGAAUGGUAUCCGAAUAAAGAAAGCAAGGGUUUGAUGGAAGGCUUACUUGGAGCAAGAUAGCGAUCAAUCGAGUUGCUGCGUUUUAUUCUCUUUUCUCUUUGUUUUUUAAGAAAAAUAAACUGCCACACGUAGAAACAGAAAAUUAAGUUCUUGUCAUUUUCAUGCAUGUGGAUUGUUGCUUUGUGUGUCAAUCAAAUCUCCGUUGUGUCAUUUGUAAUUUUCAACCUUUAUGCAUGCAAAUGCGAGACCUCUUACGUAUAAUAAAAUUAAUAUACUUCCCAAGAUGGUCUUAUCUUGCGUUGACUUUUUACGUUCCUUUGGUGAUGAUUUUAACGUUUGAAAUUGAUGAGUAUUGUUUUUGUAAACUCUGACAUGG
RNAcentral lists this long non-coding RNA (968 nucleotides) under Citrus maxima (pomelo). RNAcentral describes it as "long non-coding RNA (CMAX_LNC002266)". Lineage: Eukaryota; Viridiplantae; Streptophyta; Magnoliopsida; Sapindales; Rutaceae. The record is from RNAcentral.